GACGAACGCUGGCGGCGUGCUUAACACAUGCAAGUCGAGCGGUAAGGCCCUUUCGGGGGUACACGAGCGGCGAACGGGUGAGUAACACGUGGGUGACCUGCCCUUAGCUCUGGGAUAAGCCUGGGAAACUGGGUCUAAUACCGGAUAUGACUCCAUAACGCAUGUUGUGGGGUGGAAAGCCUUGUGCGGCUAGGGAUGGGCCCGCGGCCUAUCAGCUUGUUGGUGGGGUGAU
RNAcentral lists this ribosomal RNA (232 nucleotides) under uncultured bacterium. RNAcentral describes it as "partial 16S ribosomal RNA". It matches the Rfam family "Bacterial small subunit ribosomal RNA", at positions 28 to 261 of the family's 1533-position model. The record is from RNAcentral.